RNAcentral lists this transfer RNA (74 nucleotides) under Streptomyces griseofuscus. RNAcentral describes it as "tRNA-Ile". It matches the Rfam family "tRNA". From Rfam's summary of the family: Transfer RNA (tRNA) molecules are approximately 80 nucleotides in length. Their secondary structure includes four short double-helical elements and three loops (D, anti-codon, and T loops). Lineage: Bacteria; Bacillati; Actinomycetota; Actinomycetes; Kitasatosporales; Streptomycetaceae. The record is from RNAcentral.
UGCGCGUAGCUCAGUUGGUUAGAGCACCUGCCUGAUACGCAGGGUUGUCGCGGGUUCAAGUCCCGUCGCGCAUA